This 890-nucleotide ribosomal RNA is filed under the name uncultured bacterium. Its description in RNAcentral is "bacterial SSU rRNA". It matches the Rfam family "Bacterial small subunit ribosomal RNA", at positions 8 to 893 of the family's 1533-position model. The record is from RNAcentral.
AGAGUUUGAUCCUGGCUCAGAUUGAACGCUGGCGGCAGGCCUAACACAUGCAAGUCGAGCGGCAGCGGGUCCUUCGGGAUGCCGGCGAGCGGCGGACGGGUGAGUAAUGCCUAGGAAUCUGCCUGGUAGUGGGGGAUAACUCGGGGAAACUCGAGCUAAUACCGCAUACGUCCUACGGGAGAAAGUGGGGGAUCUUCGGACCUCACGCUAUCAGAUGAGCCUAGGUCGGAUUAGCUAGUUGGUGAGGUAAAGGCUCACCAAGGCGACGAUCCGUAACUGGUCUGAGAGGAUGAUCAGUCACACUGGAACUGAGACACGGUCCAGACUCCUACGGGAGGCAGCAGUGGGGAAUAUUGGACAAUGGGCGAAAGCCUGAUCCAGCCAUGCCGCGUGUGUGAAGAAGGUCUUCGGAUUGUAAAGCACUUUAAGUUGGGAGGAAGGGCAGUAAGUUAAUACCUUGCUGUUUUGACGUUACCAACAGAAUAAGCACCGGCUAACUUCGUGCCAGCAGCCGCGGUAAUACGAAGGGUGCAAGCGUUAAUCGGAAUUACUGGGCGUAAAGCGCGCGUAGGUGGUUCAGCAAGUUGGAGGUGAAAUCCCCGGGCUCAACCUGGGAACUGCCUCCAAAACUACUGGGCUAGAGUAUGGUAGAGGGUGGUGGAAUUUCCUGUGUAGCGGUGAAAUGCGUAGAUAUAGGAAGGAACACCAGUGGCGAAGGCGACCACCUGGACUAAUACUGACACUGAGGUGCGAAAGCGUGGGGAGCAAACAGGAUUAGAUACCCUGGUAGUCCACGCCGUAAACGAUGUCGACUAGCCGUUGGGAUCCUUGAGAUCUUAGUGGCGCAGCUAACGCGAUAAGUCGACCGCCUGGGGAGUACGGCCGCAAGG